Small nucleolar RNA from Tachyglossus aculeatus (Australian echidna), 132 nucleotides. The record is from RefSeq and is a predicted model, not a curated record. Lineage: Eukaryota; Metazoa; Chordata; Mammalia; Monotremata; Tachyglossidae.
AACUCUUUAGGGUUACACCUGGAGAGUUUCCAGUAUUCUACCAGUCUCAGCUAUGGGAGGGAGAGUCAAGCAGAGGCCUACCCAUUCCAUUCCUAGCUUGGGCUGGAGAAUGGAAGACAAUCUGCUGCAAGU